GUAGGGAAUAUUGGGCAAUGGAGGCAACUCUGACCCAGCCAUGCCGCGUGCAGGAAGACGGUCCUCUGGAUUGUAAACUGCUUUUGAAUGGGAAGAACAUACGGUUUGCGAACCGUACUGACGGUACUAUUAGAAUAAGCACCGGCUAACUCCGUGCCAGCAGCCGCGGUAAUACGGAGGGUGCAAGCGUUAUCCGGAUUUAUUGGGUUUAAAGGGUGCGUAGGCGGCCUUAUAAGUCGGUGGUUAAAGGUAGCAGCUUAACUGUUUUACAUGCCAUCGAUACUGUAGGGCUUGAGUGAUUUGGAGGUAGCUAGAAUUCCCUGUGUAGCGGUGAAAUGCAUAGAUACGGGGAGGAAUACCGAUUGCGAAGGCAUGUUACUACGAAUUAACUGACGCUGAGGCACGAAAGCGUGGGGAUCAAACAGGAUUAGAAACCCUAGUAGUCC
This 446-nucleotide ribosomal RNA is filed under the name uncultured bacterium. Its description in RNAcentral is "bacterial SSU rRNA". It matches the Rfam family "Bacterial small subunit ribosomal RNA", at positions 354 to 796 of the family's 1533-position model. The record is from RNAcentral.